Molecule: long non-coding RNA, 386 nt
Organism: Topomyia yanbarensis
Lineage: Eukaryota; Metazoa; Arthropoda; Insecta; Diptera; Culicidae
Exons: 3
Source: RefSeq, a predicted model, not a curated record
CAUCUUUUCUCGCUUGAAGCUGGAAUGAGCACAAAAAGAGCCCUUGGAGCAACAGCCGUACUGUUUAAAAACUGCCGAAUUGAACUCCAAAUAAGCUGAAUGAACGGCACGUUGUAUGCUGCGUUGUUGGAAACGUUAUGUGCUACAGUUUCAACUCAGAAAAACGCCCUGCUUUUAACGAAGCACAACCAUAUAGCCAUACUUUGACUAAUCUCGUACAAGUUUAAAUUAGACGCAGUAUUUGGAGUAUUGGCAAAUUGGCUAUAUUCUACUAAUCAUUAAGAAUCGAGAACAGCAUGGUGAAUCGAAAUAAAAGCUGAUGGUAGAUGAAUAUUUUGUCCUAUCUAGCUCGAAAACGUUUAUUUAUAAUCCUAGUGCUGGAUAAU